RNAcentral lists this ribosomal RNA (340 nucleotides) under Bacteroides stercoris. Its description in RNAcentral is "partial 23S ribosomal RNA". It matches the Rfam family "Bacterial large subunit ribosomal RNA", at positions 1 to 341 of the family's 2925-position model. The record is from RNAcentral. Lineage: Bacteria; Pseudomonadati; Bacteroidota; Bacteroidia; Bacteroidales; Bacteroidaceae.
GAAAUAAGGUUAAGUUAAUAAGGGCGCACGGUGGAUGCCUUGGCACUAGGAGCCGAUGAAGGACGUGACUAACGACGAAAUGCUUUGGGGAGCUGUAAGUAAGCAUUGAUCCAGAGAUGUCCGAAUGGGGGAACCCGGCAUGUAAUGCAUGUCAUCCAUGACUGUUAAGGUCAUAGGAAGGAAGACGCAGUGAACUGAAACAUCUAAGUAGCUGCAGGAAGAGAAAGCAAAAGCGAUAGCCUUAGUAGCGGCGAGCGAAACGGCUGGAGGGCAAACCGAGGAGUUUACUCCUCGGGGUUGUAGGACUGCAAUGUGGACUUAAAGAGUAUAGAAGAAUGAC